UCUUCGGAGAGUUUGAUCCUGGCUCAGGAUGAACGCUGGCGGCGUGCCUAAUACAUGCAAGUCGAGCGAACUGAUUAGAAGCUUGCUUCUAUGACGUUAGCGGCGGACGGGUGAGUAACACGUGGGCAACCUGCCUGUAAGACUGGGAUAACUUCGGGAAACCGAAGCUAAUACCGGAUAGGAUCUUCUCCUUCAUGGGAGAUGAUUGAAAGAUGGUUUCGGCUAUCACUUACAGAUGGGCCCGCGGUGCAUUAGCU
RNAcentral lists this ribosomal RNA (257 nucleotides) under Priestia megaterium. RNAcentral describes it as "Bacillus megaterium partial 16S ribosomal RNA". It matches the Rfam family "Bacterial small subunit ribosomal RNA", at positions 1 to 246 of the family's 1533-position model. The record is from RNAcentral. Lineage: Bacteria; Bacillati; Bacillota; Bacilli; Caryophanales; Bacillaceae.